RNAcentral lists this long non-coding RNA (920 nucleotides) under Fukomys damarensis (Damara mole-rat). Its description in RNAcentral is "lncRNA (ENSFDAG00000026769.1)". The record is from RNAcentral. Lineage: Eukaryota; Metazoa; Chordata; Mammalia; Rodentia; Bathyergidae.
UCUAAAUGCACCUUCAGAAUCAGGGAGCCUGGAGUCCCGGGGCAGAAGCCUCAGGCCCAGGGGAGAUUUGGGGGCUGGGGCCUCCUUCCUCCUGCCGCAACAGCAGACCACAGUGCUGUCCAUGGGAGGCCGCAGGCGUUCAGCCCCACUUCCUGUUCCCACAGAGGCCAUCAGGGCUGAGACAACACCCACCAGCGCAGAGGGGACCCAGGGACUCAGCAGGGCCUGGGAAGGCCCACGGCUUCCUGAGGAUGUGUAGGAGAGGCAGAAGCCCCAGCCCUCUCCCCGAGGCUCUGGAUGUCGCCAAGGAGGUGGCCGCUGCAGUGUGGCCCUCUGGGGCUGCCCAGGACAGGAGCCUGAUGAAAAGCGCUUUCCUCCUGAGCGUCCUGCAACUUGCCACACUGUUCUGGAUCUUUCUGCAACCACUCUGCCAGCUCCCAGCCCCGCCUGGAAAAGCACCUGCUGUUUGCAUGACACCCUGGUGACCUGUCCCUGAGUGGUUGGUGGCCGCGUGGCCAGACCCCGGGAUCUGCGUGGCACACAGCAGUGUCUCACCUCAGGGCCAAGCUGGGACAAACCACAGGGGACAGGAGGGGAGGGCAAAAGCUCCCUGCUGCCCCUCUGAAGGAAAUUGACAAUGGGGUGAGGCAGGAGUGGGCAGGCUGCACCCCAGAGAGUGCUUAUGCAAGGUCCUGCCCUUCGGGCCACCCACAGAGGCUGAGUCCUGAGACCCCGGGUCCUCCCACCCGACCUGGCUCUGAUGGAGCAGGUGCACUUGAGCUGUGCAGGAAGAGAGGUUCUCUCCGCACAUGUCCUGGUCAUGGCUGUCACGUCCCCUGCCUGCUGGCUGUUUGCUGCUAUCUGCAAGGUAGCCCAGUGGGUUCUCUUGGGGCCUCCUGCCAUUGCCUUGUCCUCCAGCC